RNAcentral lists this ribosomal RNA (252 nucleotides) under uncultured bacterium. RNAcentral's name for it is "partial 16S ribosomal RNA". It matches the Rfam family "Bacterial small subunit ribosomal RNA", at positions 30 to 289 of the family's 1533-position model. The record is from RNAcentral.
UUGAACGCUGGCGGCAUGCCUUACACAUGCAAGUCGAACGGUAGAGGGGCAACCCUUGAGAGUGGCGAACGGGUGAGUAAUAUAUCGGAACGUGCCCAGUCGUGGGGGAUAACGCAGCGAAAGCUGCGCUAGUACCGCAUACGAUCUAUGGAUGAAAGCGGGGGAUCGCAAGACCUCGCGCGAUUGGAGCGGCCGAUAUCAGAUUAGGUAGUUGGUGGGGUAAAAGCCCACCAAGCCGACGAUCUGUAGCUG